Molecule: ribosomal RNA, 245 nt
Filed under: uncultured bacterium
Lineage: Bacteria
Description: partial 16S ribosomal RNA
Rfam family: Bacterial small subunit ribosomal RNA
Source: RNAcentral
UACGGAGGGUGCAAGCGUUAUCCGGAUUUACUGGGUUUAAAGGGUGUGUAGGCGGGCUGUUAAGUCAGUGGUGAAAUCUCCGGGCUCAACCCGGAAACUGCCAUUGAUACUAAUGGUCUUGAAUUCUGUUGAGGUAGGCGGAAUAAGUCAUGUAGCGGUGAAAUGCAUAGAUAUGACUUAGAACACCAAUUGCGAAGGCAGCUUACUAAGCAGAUAUUGACGCUGAGGCACGAAAGCGUGGGGAU